Molecule: ribosomal RNA, 498 nt
Filed under: uncultured bacterium
Lineage: Bacteria
Description: partial 16S ribosomal RNA
Rfam family: Bacterial small subunit ribosomal RNA
Source: RNAcentral
AUUGAACGCUGGCGGCAUGCCUUACACAUGCAAGUCGAACGGUAACAGGUCUUCGGAUGCUGACGAGUGGCGAACGGGUGAGUAAUACAUCGGAACGUGCCUAGUAGUGGGGGAUAACUACUCGAAAGAGUGGCUAAUACCGCAUGAGAUCUACGGAUGAAAGCAGGGGAUCGCAAGACCUUGUGCUACUAGAGCGGCCGAUGGCAGAUUAGGUAGUUGGUGGGAUAAAAGCUUACCAAGCCGACGAUCAGUAGCUGGUCUGAGAGGACGAUCGGCCCCGGGGGGACUGGGACCCGGCCCAGACUCCUACGGGGGGCAGCAGUGGGGAAGUGUGGAGAAUGGGCGGAAGCCUGAGCCAGCAAUGCCGCGUGCAGGAUGAAGGCCUUCGGGUUGUAAACUGCUUUUGUACGGAACGAAAAGCCCCGGGUUAAUACCCUGGGGUCAUGACGGUACCGUAAGAAUAAGCACCGGCUAACUACGUGCCAGCCGCCGCCGUAA